This 1881-nucleotide long non-coding RNA is filed under the name Setaria italica (foxtail millet). RNAcentral describes it as "long non-coding RNA (SITA_LNC001300)". Lineage: Eukaryota; Viridiplantae; Streptophyta; Magnoliopsida; Poales; Poaceae. The record is from RNAcentral.
AGGAGGAGAUACGGCGGUGCGGAUAGCAAUUGGCAGCGCUGGAAUUGCUAGUACGUCCACUCCUCUCUCUUGAUUUGAAGGCUGGAGACGAGACAUCACUAGUUGUACUCCGGUGAGGGUCCAGCCGGCCGGAUGAGUAACCGGGCUUCUAGCAUCUGAAAUCCGUCAUCAGUGUUUCCUCCCUGCACCUAAAUCGAGAAUCACAGCUUAGGCGGUGUUUGGAUGCGAGGUACUAAAGUACUUUAGGAGGGAUCACAUCGGAUGUUGGGACGCUAAUUAGGAUGAUUAAACAUGAGCUAAUUAUAAAACUAACUGCAGAACCCCUAUACUAAUUCGCGAGACGAAUCUAUUAAGCCUAAUUAAUCCAUCAUUAGCAAAUGGUUACUGUAGCACCACAUUGUUAAAUCAUGGACUAAUUAGACUUAAUAGAUUCGUCUUGCGAAUUAGACUCCAUCUGUGUAAUUAGUUUUGUAAUUAGACUAUAUUUAAUACUCCUAAUUAGUAUCCAAACAUUCGAUGUGACAGGUACUAAAUUUUAUGAGCCUAUCCAAACAGGCCCUUAGAUUUCUUCCCCAGCGCUCGUCAAUUGGGGUCUCCUGCAGCCGCGUCGGGAUUUGCUCCAGCUUGUUCGCUUCAGCUUAUUCAGCCGGCUUAUCAACUAUCGAACAAUGUUUUUCUCUCACAACAAAUCAGCCGUUUCAGCUUUUCAACCGGCUUAUAAGUCCAGCUGAACCCUUAGACACAAUUUCCUAUUUGACAUCAGAAAAGUUACUUGUUCAGCUAUCAAAAUUUUUUCUUUCCCUAUUGUUCCUCUCAAAAAAUUUUCUUUUCCUAUUUGACACUGGGUAUAACUUUGGUUCCUUAUAUGAUACUCUUAGAUUUUUUAUAAAUACUCUAUGAAAAGAUGAUUUGAAGAAUGUGGACCCCACCGCAGCCACCUUUUCCUUCCGCUCCUCCCCUUCCCUCUGAUUGCGUUUGGAUAUGCCUUGGGUUGGGGAUAGGGAAAUGGGCUAGGAUAUAUAAUUGGUUGGGUUUGGGUUAGGGAUAAGUUUUAUCCCAUUGCUAUGUUUGGGUACAUCUGGGGCCAUGUUUAGUUCCCUCCAAACUUCCAACUUUGACACUAUGCAAAAAGAAGAUUCCCCAUCACAACAAACUUGCGGUACAUGCAUGGAGUACUGAAUGUAGACGAAAUCAAAAACUAAUUGCACAGUUUUGUUGUACUUUGCGAGACGAAUCUUUUGAUCCUAAUUAGUCAAUAUUUGGACAAUAAUUCACAAAUACAAACGAAAUGCUACAGUUGCGCAUUUAUGGUAAAAUGUCAAUUUGGCCCCUCCCAAAUUGGGAACUAAACAAGGCCUGGGUUGGGUUUGGGUUAUGUUGAUGGGGCCCACGCGUUUAUAAAAAACCAAAAUACGACGUCACCUCCGAUCCUCUUAAUCCAUACGCAUAGCAAGGGUAGCAGCUCGUCGUUCCAAUCUCAUCCCCAGCGCGGACAUUCAGGCCCAGGGCGUGUGGCAGUGUGCGAGGAGCGGCGGCUCCGGUGGCCCGACGCGCAGGAAGUAAGCGCGGUUCCGGCGGCCCGGCGUGCGCGAUGUGUGAGCAGCUUCAGCGGCGCGCGCGUGCGAGGGGAGCGGCUGCUCCGACGGCCCACACGUGCGAGGGGAGCUGCUGCUUCGGCGACGACGCGCGCCAGGCGAGCACGGAUUCCGGCGGCGUGCGAGGCGAGCUGGGGCUCCGGCGGCUGGCGAGGCGCGGUUCCGGCGGGCGGCUUAGCGGCAAGGCGCGGCGGGGAAGGCGUGGGCGCGUGGCCGGCCCGGAUAGCGGGAUGGCACGGCGGGGGAGGCGCAGUCGGCCUGGAGGCGACGUGGAGGGGUGGGGGAG